CGGUCGAGCUAGAAGCUUUCGACAGGAGCGUGCUUAGAGACGCGGCUUGCUUUCCCACAACGCGCAGACAUUGCCGCUAGAGGGAUGGAAUGUUCUCGAGGUGGCGAGCCCUUCGUUGGCGGUCUGUAAUACCUCUCCCGCUUUUCUAGCACCACUGCUAGAACGAUUGGGUUCCCCAGGAUACAAGAUCUCAGGAAUAUGGAUACAUUGCUCAGAAGCACCGUUUUCUUCUUCAUGACACUCCUUACAUUGGACCUGCUUCUAGUUAUUUAUGCGCGUCCGUAUAUCGCAAGAGAGUGCAGACGUGCAUUUGGUCAUAACCCUCCAACAUCGAUAUAUAGUGCGCUGCAAGGACUUUUCAACGAUGCUAUGCGCAUCUUCAGACGUGCGCUUUCACGAUAACAUUUCAAUCUAAAUCGGGCAGUUCAAAUAAAGUACGCAAAACCAUUGA
This 451-nucleotide long non-coding RNA is filed under the name Dermacentor andersoni. Its description in RNAcentral is "uncharacterized LOC126540646". The record is from RNAcentral. Lineage: Eukaryota; Metazoa; Arthropoda; Arachnida; Ixodida; Ixodidae.